This 254-nucleotide ribosomal RNA is filed under the name uncultured bacterium. RNAcentral describes it as "partial 16S ribosomal RNA". It matches the Rfam family "Bacterial small subunit ribosomal RNA", at positions 524 to 776 of the family's 1533-position model. The record is from RNAcentral.
CACGUAGGGGGCGAGCGUUGUCCGGAUUUAUUGGGCGUAAAGAGCUCGUAGGCGGUUCGGCAAGUCGGGUGUGAAAUUUCGAGGCUCAACCUCGAAACGCCACUCGAUACUGCUGUGACUGGAGUCCGGUAGAGGAGUGCGGAAUUCCUGGUGUAGCGGUGAAAUGCGCAGAUAUCAGGAGGAACACCAACGGCGAAGGCAGCUCGCUGGGACGGUACUGACACUGAGGCGCGAAAGCGUGGGGAGCAAACAGG